UGUUUAUAUUAUUUAAUAAAGAGAAAAUACAUAACUACUCCCAUUAAAGUAAGACAUGAUUUUUAAAAAAACACUUUAACUUUGUAGGGGUCUUAUUACCUCCUUAUUCUUAUUUAGAAUGAAUUUAUUUUCCCAUUAAAUGCCUACGUGGCAUAUUGAGUAUAGUUCACUCUCUGAUAGAGAGUGAGCUGAACCAAAAAGUAAAUAAAUAUUUAUUUAAGCAUUUAUUUUAUUAGAAAUAUUAAUUUUUUUUCUUUUUAUUUAUUUAUUUUAUUAUACUUUCUCAAUUCUUUAUUUUUGUUAUCUUCUUCCCCAAAUUUCAAAAGAACCAACUACCUCUUCUCUAUCUUCUUCAACUUAGAAGACCCAUUUUCUUCACUCAUUUUUUUCCUUGUCUUCUUGCUUCUCUUUGUUCUUUGUUCUUUUUUCUUCUUUUGCCCUUCUUUUUUUUUUCAAAAUAAUAAUAAUUGUAAACCUCCUUGUUAACAUUGUUCCUUUUUUUAAAAAAAUGAAAAUAAAUUGUUAUGUAGUUCUUUAGCAUGUAAAUAAAGAAAUUUCUUCGAUUUGAGAGUAUUAUAGAAUUCCAUUACCUUCAUCUUAAUGGAGUUCCGCUGCAUAAUUGUUGUAAUUUUGAAAAGAAAUGGUAGAUUGGAGGUGAUUAUUAAUUUUCAAUUUAUAAUUUGUUAGUAAUUUUAUUUUUGAUUUAACAAUAAUUUGAUGAUAUUAAUGGUGGAAUUGAUAUUAUAAUAGUGACGUGAUGAAGACUACUCUGGAGGAUUGACGAAGAAGGCGGCUACGUAGAGGAUUCCUGGUGAUGAUGGACUGAAGAAGAGCAGAGGGGAGGGUAAUGAAGAAAGAAGAAGAAAGAGAAGAAGAAAAAGAAAAUGAAGUUAAUAAAAUAUGAAAAAACGUCUAUAAAUCUUUUUAGUCAAGCGGAU
RNAcentral lists this long non-coding RNA (938 nucleotides) under Solanum tuberosum (potato). RNAcentral's name for it is "long non-coding RNA (STUB_LNC002090)". The record is from RNAcentral. Lineage: Eukaryota; Viridiplantae; Streptophyta; Magnoliopsida; Solanales; Solanaceae.